Molecule: long non-coding RNA, 4040 nt
Organism: Balaenoptera musculus (blue whale)
Lineage: Eukaryota; Metazoa; Chordata; Mammalia; Artiodactyla; Balaenopteridae
Exons: 3
Source: RefSeq, a predicted model, not a curated record
GAUUCCUAAAGGGAUGAAACCUGUAGGCCUUUAACCACAGCCUUCAGUUUUUGGAAUAACAUUCCUGUGAGGGACACGGGUCUGUGCCUCUGAGUUAGUAGGUGUGGGUUUGUUCAAGCUGGGUUUUCAAGUUUGACCUCCCCAGAGCACACGCCGUUUUGGGGGUAGAAAUACCUAUUUGGAAACAGCAUCAGGACUUUGCAUAAAUGUCAGAAGAUGAUUUCCUCCCCUGCCGCUGAUCUCCCCAUGCCCUGCGCUACCGUUAUGGCUGUGGACGGGUGGCAGGAAGAGACUCAAAGAAAAGCAGGUUUCAGGAGCGUCUUCAGCACAACCUCGUGAACCAGUUUAUGACUGAGAACAAGCCAUCAUCACCGUUUUUCUGUUUGAUUUGCUGAUUUCUCUAGGAACCAGUGGAUGAAGGCAUUCUGGAUUUCGUGAAGGUUUCUCAUCUGGCUUUUAAAAAACCCAUCAACGCUGGAAAACCCAAGGCCUCUGUGAGCAUACCGUGGCCUUUAAAGAGAGUCCUGUGCCUGGAACCCCUGAAAUAUAUACUGGGGUUAAUACGCUUAAAGGUGGCUUCAGAAGCAAAGUAACAUCAAGGCCCUAAUUCCGGAACUGGCCCUGCCCGUCUAUCACUGUCUUCCGGUGUGGUGGCAGCCAUGGGAUCCGGAGGAGACUUCUGAUUUCAAGCUCCCUCCUUUUGGGUGACCUGUCCGACUUCAUUCAGGACUUAGGCAAGGACAGAUUGUCCUUCUGAGCCUGCAGAUGGGAUCCUGGUAAAUCUGGCAGAAGCUGGAAGGGGUGAGAAUUCUGACCAGAGUCAGCUCUCCUGAACCUCUGUUUGCAGUGCCCAGUUGAGAGAGAAAGGUAAAUGUUCAUGUCCCUUCCUUUCCAAAUCCAGACCCAUUGGUUGAUCUUUUCUCUCCCAGGGACAGCUGUUGCCUUCUCGUUUGUCUCGUUUUGUGUCCUGAGAACUUGGCUUGGCCACUGUCAGGUUGGGCAGCUAUAACAGAAAUGUAAGUUGCACCUUACAUUUGUGGCUGAGGUCCUAUCGAUUAGUGCCAGCCCUCAGGGGAACUAAGUCUUUCCUUCUUUUGGUUAUCUUUGGGAGUGGCUCUGGAGCUUGGGAGAGUGGUGUCCUUUGCACCCUCAUUGGGAAUGCCUCUUGCAUCCAUGGGGUCUUUCAAUAUGGCCAGGAAUAUUUACUGUUUGUCCCCCUGCCAAGAUAUUUAAAAGGAUUGUUUAAGUAGCUCUAUGGUCAGAAGUUGGCCAAACUGGAAGCUGAUAUACAGAGCCCGUUAGGAACUUUUUAAAGGCUUUGUCCCCCAAGUCAAAAUGAAGCUAUGUGCCCAGAGGGAAAGAAAAACAUUCCAAAGACAAAGCUCUAAAUCUAGAGCAUAGGAAUCUCUUGCAUUCCAUCUCAGUUGAAGAUCUUCUCCCUGAUCUAAAGAAGCAAAUAGAAGAUGAUGCAGUUGGAUGGGCUAUGAUGUCAUUCACGUUGCAACCCAAUUCCCCGCCUGUCCUUGUCUUACGGACCUAGUCUUUACACGAACAGAGAUGCCGCUCUAGAGGCAGUUCAAAGCCCACCUAUCGUUUCUGUCAAUCCCCAGACAUCCCUUCUUCAUCUCAAAAGGCUUGCAGACAUUGUAAAAUACCUGGAUUUUAAGAAAAGUCCUUCCUGGACGAACUUCCAUUUUUUUUUCCCUGUGCCUUUGAGUUGUGAAUGUUCUACCUGGUCUCCUCCAAGAAUUCUUACCUAGGCCAGCUCUUAGAAACACAAACUUCAGGCAGGUAAUUCUCGCCAGAAGGAAAAAAAGAUGGGGAAGGCUGUUUGGAGCUUAGGUGAGUGAAAAAUCUUAAGUGUCUUCUCCACAAAUAGUAAUGAAAAGCGUUAGCCGUCUGAGCAGGUAACCCUACCUUACUCCAACUUCCAGAAACAGGAUUUGGAUAAAACUGUUCUUCUAUAAACUAGUAAGUUUUGCAUUAUUGUACCUGUCUCAUGGCUAAAAUUUUAAAACAAAAGCUUUAUGAUCUCUGCAUCUGUCUGUAUGUUUAUCUAUGUACGUUGUAUAUUUGUAAUGGUUUUUCUACCACUGAGGGUAUUGCCAAAUUAAUUUGCAAAAGAGCAUAUUUAAUUGGCUUAAAGAAAAAUAAGGCGAUUAUCAAAUUAAGUAUUCUAAAACUCUGAAAUACAGAAACUUAACCACAAAUGUUUUCAAGUUCGCAUGAUCUAGGAAAAUCUUAGUAAAUGAAAGCUAACUUAAGUUUGUUGGUUUAAUUAAGUAGGUAUGUUAAAUAUAAUGCAUAUGUACAAACUUUUAUUCUACCUGGGUUAUUAGUCCAAUCAAGUUCAUGUUAAUCUCUGUUACAAAAUUUGUCACCAAGGAAGAGAACUUAAGAUGUUGGCUAGCUGUUUAAUGCCUCGAGAAAUUUUCAUGACUAAUCUAAACAGAAUUGUUAAGAACAAAUGAUCUGUACGUUUCUCACUGGGUAGAAGCUUUUUCCUGUUGAUAAGCAACUGCCUCUUUUGUAGCAAAGAAAUUACUUCAAAACAUCUUCCCUAUAGGGGGCACCCCCAUCAUUUUUGCAUAUGACUGAGGAACUCAUUUUACUGGCCAGGUAAUCCGAGAACUCUGGAGAGUCCUUCUUAUGCUAUACAGGCUGCAUUCAGGACUAGGAGAAAAGACUAAUGACAUCAUUAAAACCCAAUUAGGAAAAUUUCCUGAGACUUUGACCAAGGUGCUGUCACUGGUCCUUUUGCAUCUAAGGUCCUUGCCUUUUGAAAAACCUAAGCUCACUCCCGAUGAAACAGCAUGGGUCCAUGCAUCUGCUUUAGUCUCCAAACUGUGACCCUCAAAUUGCCCAACAGGACCUGUUAAAAAAUUGCUAGUCAUCUAUUCUCUAUUCCUCCUACAGGUUAAAAAGCUUAUGCUGAACAAGAUUACAGCCUGACACUGACACCCCUCAUGACCUACUUCCUGGAGAAUACAUCCGCUGGAAAAGACCCCAACUAAAGGACUCCUGCUUUGCUCCUUGGAAAGGAUCUUUUCUGGUACUGUUCGCCAGUUCCUGCACAGCUAAACUUGAAGGCAUCCGGCCCACCUGAAAGGAGUAACAGGACCAGAAUGAACCAGCAAAGCCACUGGUGAUCUCGCACUUAAGAUCUCCCAGCACCAGAAGCAGACGACAUCAGACAUAGACAGCUAUCCCAAGACAACAGGCCAGGCCUGUAUAACUUAACUUGAUUUCCACCACUGUUCUCUUUACUGUGGAAAUCACGAUGGGGUAAGUUAACCAGACUCCUCCACUUAUCUGUUUUCUCUCCGGGUUGCCCGUGUCUCCCAGGCAAUUGCCAAGGGAGGUGACCUUUCAGACUCUGUAUUUGUCAUUUAAAACUCCGAUCUGUCUGUAAGGUUGGAGACUCCCUGGUCCUUCCUGUAACCCGAUUUUUCUUCUCUCAUCCUUAGUGCCAUCAUAAGCAACAGCUGAAGUCCCUUCGAUGUCAGCUACAGUGUUAAACUUUUGCAGCCCGGUUUCCCAGUGCCUUAUUUUUACCUUUCUCUCAUCAUAACUCUCCUUGCCCAAUUUGACACAAGUAUCUUGUAAACCGUAGUACAUUUGUGCCCCCCAUGUUCUUAUGGUUAUCUAAAUCAGAUUUCAAAGGAUUUGUCUCUUACCUCAUGAGAGAUGUUAAACUACUUAGGUUUAUUGUUCAGUUACAUGGGAAGCAUUGCCAACUAAGUGAUGAUAAAUCAUCUUGGGUUAUUUGUAUUUUAAUAACACUUAAUUAUUAAUAUAAUUAAGUGUUCUAGAAAUUGUGUGAAAUUCCUAGAAAUCUGAUACGUCUUGGUAUAAUGUUAUCAGUCAUAAUUCUUAUUAUCUUAAAAUAUUGUCUAUCACAGAAGUAACCAAAUUUCCUUGUCAAUUCCAUUAUAAUGAACUCUCAUCAGAUCUUUAGCAAUGGGCAUUUUUAAGUUCUUUUGUCAUUUACAGAUAUUGUUUUACUCUGAUGCUUUUGCAAAAGUGAGAUUCGUGGCAAG